CUUUCCUAGACCUGAUGAUAUAAUUUUGAGUAGAUCUAGAUCCGGAUCUAUAAGUUUGUUUAUUACUAGGUACAGAAGAGGCUCCAGUUCCAGAAAGUUUCCCAAGUUCUGCAGCAUGCCACCUGUGGGAGUGUUAGUAAUUAUGUCUCCCACCACACAGUGGUGUGGGAGAAGUAUUGAUUUACACCUGCCUGUGAGUGUGUCUGUCUGUCACAAAUCUUGUCCGCACUCAAAAGUCAAACAUUUCUCAUGCGAUCUUCACCAAACUUGAACAAAAUGUGUUUGACCAUAAGUCCUUGGCCAAGUUCGAUAACCAGCCAUGAGCCCAACCCUGCAACACACCAGUCAGCCUAUACCCCCUGUCCACCCCACCAGCCUCCACCCAUGCACACAGCAAUGACCAGCCCAUUAUACAUUAUAGCAAACAUCCUCAAAAUUUGUACAUGCAUGUAUUUAAUGUGUCCCCUCAGUCGCUGUUGUUAUGACUACCUUGUAGCCUGGUGGUAUAGUGCUCACUUUGAGUGUGGGAGGUUGUGCCCUUGACUUAGUAAAAAAUGUGCAUAUAAAGACAUGGAAGUUAUGUCGCACAUUGGCAUUGUCUAUUAAAAGAGUUUUCUGAAAUUAAAUUGUGUUUUUAAAUUCAUUGGCAUCUAAGGAAAAAGUCAUUGCAGUGUCUGUUGAAGGAAUAUUUUUUUAGCUCAUCUGAUUUUUUGAAAAAAAAUGAUGAGUUAUUGUCAUCACUUGAGUGGUUGUCGGCGUCGGUGUUGCCUGGUUAAGUUUUAUGUUUAGGUCAGCUUUUCUCCUAAACUAUCAAAGCUAUUGCUUUGAAACUUGGAAUACUUGUUCACCAUCAUAAGCUGACCUGUAUAGCAAGAAACAUAACUCCAUCUUGCUUUUUGCAAGAUUUAUGGCCCCUUUUGUACUUAGAAAAUAUCAGAUUUCUUGGUUAAGUUUUAUGUUUAGGUCAACUUUUCUCCUAAACUAUCAAAGCUAUUGCUUUGAAACUUGGAAUACUUGUUCACCAUCAUAAGCAGACCCUGUACAUCAAGAAACAUAACUCCAUCUUGCCUUUUGCAAGAUUUAUUGCCCCUUUUGGACUUAGAAAAUCAGUUUUCUUGGUUAAGUUUUAUGUUUAGGUCAGCUUUUAUCCUAAACUAUCAAAGCUAUUGCUUUAAGACUUGCAACACUUGUUCACCAUCAUAAGUUGACCCUGUACAGCAAGAAACAUAACUCCAUCCUGCUUUUUGCAAGAUUUAUGGCCCCUUUUGGACUUAGAAAAUAUCAGAUUUCUUGGUUAAGUUUUAUGUUUAGGUCAACUUUUUCUCUUAAACUAUCAAAGCUAUUGCUUUGAAACUUGCAACACUUGUUCACCAUCAUAAGCUGACCCUGUACAGCAAGCAACAUAACUCCAUCCUGCUUUUUGCAAUAAUUAUUGCCCCUUUUGGACUUAGAAAAUCAUUUUCUUGGUUGAGUAUUAUGUUUAAGUCAACUUUUCUCAUAAACUAUCAAAGCUAUUGCUUUAAAACUUGCAACAGUUUUUCACCAUCAUAAGUGGACACUGUACAUCAAGAAACAUAACUCUGUCCUGCUUUUUGCAAGAAUGAUGGCCCUUUUUAGACUUAGAAAAUCAUGGGUAGGACAAUAGUUCUAUUACACAAAAAAAAUCAGAUGAGCGUCAGCACCCGCAAGGCGGUGCUCUUGUUUAUAAAAUACAACGGUAAGGUCUGAAAGUUGAAAUAAAGUUUAAAGAUGAAGUGGCAAUGUAAAUGAGUUGAAUGAAUGCAAGACCUAAUCUUAAAUUUCCUAAACUUUAAAUCCAUUACAGCCAACUUUUUACAUAACAGAAAUAUAAGACAGUUGUUAUUAGAUAACAGAAGGUAUUUUGUUAAGUUCAAUAGUGGACAAAAUUGUUCCAAAAAUCACCACAGUUACAGCCCUGGAAUGAGCAUAAAUUGUCAUAAUUCAUAAUGUUACCACAUUCCUGAAACAAAACUGAAUGUCAUAGAAUGUAUGUGACCACAAGAUAUUGAGCAAGAUCAUUUUGUAAAACCAGAGUUAUGGUAAGUUUCCAUACUUCAUAUUGUUAAGACAUUAACAGCCACAUUUCUUGAGCAAUUUGUUAUGCUAGCUAUAUAAAAUAACUGAUAAUGAUUCACUGUGCUGUAGUAAAACAAGAGUUAUUGCCCAUGAACAAUCGUAUAGAACAUAAUACAGAAUAAGAGCAGCUACAAAACAAAUAAUUGGCAAGAUUGCUCAAGUAACAUAAUGAGAUAUGGCCGUUGAAUAUGUCUUAAUAGUGUAAUUUCACAGUGUUCACUUUAUAUAAGCAAUUUUUACUGUCCUAUAAUACAAAACCAAAUAAGGUUAUUUUCCUCCCAUAGGCAGAUAAAGAAAGUGGACUAAGUAAUCGUCUUAACAUAUGGGUCACUAGGUCAAAUAAUAAAAAUCCUUGUUAGCACCACAGAGGAGACAUCUUCUACCCAUCUUACAUAAAGCCUGGCAGAAGUUAAGUCCAUAUACAACCUUGGUUAUUUUGGGUAAAAAAGUUACUGGGUAUAAAUCAUAGAAGACCCAUGUUAGCGCUGUAGAAGAGAUAUUUAUAUUUCUGCCCCUUUCAGAGAGUUUGCUUUUAACAAAUUAGGGUCAAGAUAGAAACUUAAACACUUCAGGUUUUAAAGUAGGUCACUAGUCAACUUAAAGCUAAACUAGGUCAUCUGAUGUUAGAAGUUACCAUAAUUAUUAUCUAUCUUAUUUAACCUGUGUAAAACCUGUCAGAAUGUUAUUUAUUGAGAAGGAAGUUCAGUAAGAAACUAAAUCAUUUAAGGUCAAAAGAAAGAUCACAGAAAAACCUUGGUUACACUAAAAAAAGAUACCUGUACCAGAUGUAGAACUUUGUCAAGCAAUCUAGCACUAUUUUGACCCUUUUAUUUUUAGCUCAGGGUGAGCUAUUCUGAUCACUCACGGUCCGGCGUCCGGCGUCCCUUGUCCGUCCGUAAACUUUUACUUUAAACGACAUCUCCUCAUAAGCCACUAGGCCAAUUUCAUCCAAACUUCACAGGAAUUUUCCUUGGGUGAAGCUCUACAAAAAUUGUUCAAAGAAUUAAAUUCCUUGCAGAACUCUGGUUGCCAUUGCAACUGAAAGGAAAAACUUUAAAAAUCUUCUUCUCAAAAACCAGAAGCCCGAGAGCUUAGAUAUUUGGUGUGAAGCAUUGCCUAGUGGACCUCUACCAAAUUUAUUCAAAUCAUGACCCCGGGGUCUCUUGAUUUUACAUAGGAAAGUCUUAAAAAAUCUUCUUCUCAAAAACCAGAAGCCCUAGAGCUUAGAUAUUUGACAUGUAGCAUUGCCUAGUGGACCUCUACUAAAAUUGGUCAAAUCGUGACCCUGGGGUCAAAAUUGACCCCACCCCAGGGGGCACUUGAUUUUACAUAGGAAAAUCUUCAAAAUUUUUUUAAAAAUAAACCAGAAGGCCUAGAGCUUAGAUAUUUCACAUGUAGCAUUGCCUAGUGGACCUCUACAAAAUUUGUUCAAAUCAUCACCCCCGCCCCAGGGGUCACUUGAUUUUACAUAGGAAAAUCUUCAAAAAUUUUCUAAACAUAAACCAGAAGGCCUAGAUCUUAAGAUAUUUGACAUGUAGCAUUGCCUAGUAGACUUCUACAAAAAAAUUUCAAAUCAUGACCCCCGGGGUCAAACUGACCCCGCCCCAUGGGGUUAAUUGAUUGUACAUAGAAAAAUCUUCAAAAUUUUCUAAAAAUAAACUAGAAGGCCUAGAGCUUAAAUUUUUCACAUGUAGCAUUGCCUAGUGGACCUCUACAAAAUUUAUUCAAAUCAUGACCCCCGGGGUCAAAAUUGAUCCCGCCCGAGGGUCACUUCAUUUUACAUAGGAAAAUCUUCAAAAAUUUUCUAAAAAUAAACCAGAAGGUCUAGAGCUUAGAUAUUUCACAUGUAGCAUUGCCUAGUGGACCUCUACAAAAUUUGUUCAAAUCAUGACUUCCAGUGUCAAAAUUGACCCCGCCCGAGGGGUCACUUGAUUUUUUUUACAUAGGAAAAUCUUCAAAAAAUUUCUUAAAAUAAACCAGAAGGCCUAGAUCUUAGAUAUUUGACAUGUAGCAUUGCCUAGUAGACUUCUACAAAAUUUGUCCAAAUCAUGACCCCCGGGGUCAAAUUGGCCCCGCCUCAUGGGGUUACUUGAUUGUACAUAGAAGAAUCUUCAAAAUUUUCUAAAAAUAAACCAGAAGGCCUAGAGCUUAGAUAUUUGACAUGUAGCAUUGCCUUAGUCUAAGUGGACCUCUACAAAAUUUGUUAAAAUCUUGACCCCCCAGGGUCAAAUUGACCCCGCACCAGGGGUUACUUGAUUGUACAAAGGGAAAUCUUCAUAAAUUUGCUAAAAAUAAACCAGAAGGCCUAAAUCUUAGAUAUUUGAUAUGUAACAUUGCCUAGUAGACUUGUUCAAAUCAUGACCCCCGAGGUAAAAUUGGUCCCGCCCCAGUGGUUACUUGAUUGUACAUCGGAAAAUCUUUAAAAAAAUUUCUAAAAAUCAUCAGUUUGACAUUUGAAACAUGUAGCUCAUAUUACUCAGGUGAGCGAUCCAGGGUCAUCAUGACCCUCUUGUUUGUAGAAUUUAAUCAAAAGUAAUUUUGGUGUAAGUUUCAGAUUAAAGCAUUUUUAGCUCGACUAUUCAUAGAAUAGUGAGCUAUUGCACUCGCCCAUGCGUCGGCGUCGGCGUCGGCGUCUGCGUCCGCGUCCGCGUCCCGAUUUUGGUUAAGGUUUUGUAUGUAAGCUGGUAUCUCAGUAACCACUUGUGGGAAUGGAUUGAAACUUCACACACUUAUUCACUGUGACAAACUGACUUACAUGGCACAGGUUCCAUAACUCUAUUUUGCUUUUUUACAAAAUUAUGCCCCUUUUUCGACUUAGAAAUUUUUGGUUAAGGUUUUGUAUGUAAGCUGGUAACUCAGUAACCACUUGUGGGAAUGGAUUGAAACUUCACACACUUAUUCACUGUGAUGAACUGAUCUACAUUUCACAGGUUCCAUAACUCUAUUUUGCUUUUUUACAAAAUUAUGCCCCUUUUUCGACUUAGAAAUUUUUGGUUAAGGUUUUGUAUGUAAGCUGGUAUCUCAGUACUUACUAAUGGAAUGGAUUGAAACUUCACAUACUUGUUCACUAUCAUGAUCUGACAUGCACUAAGCAAGUCCCAUAACUCUACUCUCUUUUUUUUCAAAAUUAUGCCCCUUUUUCGACUUAGCAGUUUUUGGUUAAAUUUUUGUAUGUAAUCUGAUAUCUCAGUAUCCACUAAUUAGAAUGGAUUGAAACUUCACACACUUGUUCACUGUCAUGAUCUAACAUGCACUGUGAAGUCCCCAUAACUCUACUUGGCAUUUUUACAAAAUUAUGCCCCUUUGACUUAGCAGUCUUUUGUUAAGUUUUUGUAUGUAAGCUGGUAUCUCAGUAUCCACAAAUUGGAAAGGAUUGAAACUUCACACACUUGUUCACUGUCAUGAUACGACAUGCAGUACAGAGGUUCAAUACCUCUACUUUGCAUUUUACAAAAUUAUGCCCCUUUUUCAACUUUUGUAUUCAUUCAAUUGACAAGGCUGUUGAAUAGUCGAGCGUUGCUGUCCUCCGACAGCUCUUGUUAUACUUGAUAUUAUAUUAAAUUAUGGUUAGGGUAGGAAGUUUAGAAGGGUAGGAGUGAGCAUUGUUUUGUUGUUUUCUUACAUACUGCUGAGGAGGAGAUGCUGCUUCAAAAGAUUGGCAGAAUUGUUUUUUGUUACAGCUGCCAAGACCUGACAGAUCCCUUUACUAUUGAUUGAGACAUGCUAUCGACUGCCAUCGAGGAUAAUCCGGUGUCUGUAUAUCCUUAAGAUGCAGAUGUUGGGAUCAACUUGUCUACAAUUCUGUGCCGGCAGUGUUUAGAUGAAAGUUGUUCCUCUUUGUUUUGAGAGAUGGGAAUCAGGGAUUGUGAGGAUUUUAUUUAUUUCAGGUCCACACCCUGCCAAUGACAACUGACUGUAUGUCCCGUCCAUACAUACAGCUGUCAGGAUUUUCUUUCAGCAUCAAGACCUGCCUAGGAAGACAUCUAUGAGGAAGGCAGGAUUUCUUCUUUUCCAGGUUCAAGGCCUGCCUAUAAGGCUGCUGAACAUACAAAUAUGGCAGGUUAUUUCUUUCAGAUUUCAAGGCCUGGCAGAUCCCUUAACUGUUGAUCAAGACAGCUACCCUACCACCGAGGACCCGGUGCCUAUAUGUCCGCAAGAUGGAAGGAAGUGUUUGGGGUAACUAUUUUACAAUUCUGUGCCAAUUCUGUGCCAGCAGAUUGCUAGAUGAUAGUUGUUCCUUUGUUGAGUGAGACGGAAAUCAGGGAUUGCAAGGAUUUCUUAUUCAUUUCAGGUCCAUACCCUGCCUAUGUCUUCUAAUGUGUGUUUUACUUGGACGGAACAUACAUUGGGCAGGUUUUGUAUUUUUUUCAGGUUCAGGGCCUGCCAGGAAAGGGCAGGAUUUUUUCUCUUUCAGAUUUCCUGUGAAUUUUUACCUUCCAUUACCAGGACAGGCUAGACUGUUAGAUUUUUUUUUUGAUGUAGCUCACUUCUGCAGCAUUAAAUUCUUGCCUUAGUAAAGCAAACUUUCUUGACAUGAAAUAAUUUGGCAGAUUUGUUUCCUGUUUUGGCUCAUUUUUUAUUACAGCUUGACAGCUAGAGACUUGAAUAUUUCCAUGGAAAUGUGAAAUGGUGCCAGUCCUUGUGUAGAGAUCCUGAGCCAUUGUUUCCUUGGAAACGUGAAAUGGUUGUUUCAGCACUAACUAAUGAAUUGGCUUUCAACAGCAGUAUUCCAUGUAGAGUGUUUGAGAGACUGCUCUACAUAACAUAUUCACAGAACUGGGAACUGAUGGGUGGACACUUCUGGAUCAAACAGUAAAUUGAGGAUGAGAUAGAUUUAGAGCUUGUUGUUGCUGCUGAUGAGGCAACACAGAAGGAAUCUCCGAAGAAAGAGAUACAGGACCCAAAACCGAACUUAUAGACAUUACUGCAGAGGCAAGCAAAGUUCCUGGAGAAUUGUAGGGAAGACAAGACUGUUCAGUAUUUGGGGGCUUUAAGCCAGUUGUGUCACAGCUCAACUGAUCUCAGCCAUGUAUCAUGUAUAGAUAUAUACCUGAGGAUAUGGAAGGUUCUGUCUGAAAAACAACAGAGUUAGUUCCCUUUAUGUGUAGUGGAAGCCAUGUUGUUUAGAAGAACUGUCAUCCCAGUGCAAUACACACAUUUGUGGAGAGUCUAGCCCUCUUGUGUUCCACCAGUACCUAUCAGACCAAGUAUACUCAAGACUUGAAGUUUAGUUGUCUACCUGGCACAGAUACCAAGAUUACAAAUGACAUUAUAAAUGGAGCCCCCAGAGAUAUACAAGUGAUACUCGGUACGAAAAUACAAAGUUCUGACAGUCAAGAAAAGUAAAGACACAGAUUGCAACGUACAGAUUACAGAGUACAGAUUACAGUGUACAGAGUACAGUGUACAGAUUACAGAGUACAGAUUACAGUGUACAGAUUACAGUGUACAGAUUGCAGUCAAGUCACAGGGUAACCAACAGACAGUUUAACCAAGACCCAGCUUAGGCUUGUCUUGGUAACUGGAAGACAGUUUAUCAAGGGAUAGGUCUUCAACUACCUACUUGCAGAGGAUGUUCUACCGCCUGUUUUGCUCGUAAAGGACUUUAAAGAUGAAAGAUGAUGGAGUCAGCGGGUUGGGUGUCAGCAUUUCAAGACAUAUGUAUGCAAGUAGUGGUCCAGAGCUCCUCAGUCCCAUUGCAAUUUUACUCCUCACUAGAAGUAAGUUAUUUGAUGUUGUUUAAGAAUCUGGUGAUGUUGAAGUUGUAUUUAGAGAUAUCUGGAGUAAUUUUGGUAUUGAAAGUAAACUACUCAUUUUAAGAAUGCAAUUCCCAUGAAAUAUGAAGUUUGUGGGUUAGGAAAUAUUUAAAACCUUAUAUUAAUGGACGUAAAUCAGAUUGAAAUGUAUAUAGAUUGGAUAAGUUUUUGUGUGCCCCCCCCCCCCCCCCCCCCCCCAUGACUGGUGGGGGCAUAUAGAUUUGGUCUUAUCCGUCUGUCCGAAGUUCGUGAUGCGCCUAGCUCAAAAAGUAUUUGAUACAAAUUGGUGAAACCUUGCAUGAGUGUUUAUCAUGAUAUGAACUUGGGCACCUCCUAUUUUUCGUCUGGCUCCGCCCCCUAUUUUCAGGGUUAUGGCCCCUGAAAUAGUCAGAAAUGCAUAUUUUUCACCUUGUGACAUGCCUAGCUCAAAAAGUAUUUGAUAUAGAUUCAUGAAACCUUGCAUGAGUCUUGAUUAUGAUAUGAACUUGUGCACCUCAUAUUUUUCAUCUGGCUCUGCCCCCUAUUUUCAGAGUUGUGGCCCCUGAAAUAGUAAAAAAUGCACAUUUUCACCUUGUGACACGUCUAGCUCAAAACGUGUUUGAUAUAGAUUCAUGAAGCUUUGCGUGAGUCUUAAUCAUGAUAUGAACUUGUGCACCUGCAAUUUUUCAUUUGGGUCCGCCCCCAAUUUUUAGAGUUAUGGCCCCUGAAAUAGUCAAAAAUGCACAUUUUCACCUUGUGACGCACCUAGCGCAAAAAGUAUUUAAUAUAAAUGAUUAAAAACUUGCAUAAGUCUUUAUCAUGAUGUAAUCUUGCAUACAUCUAAUUUUUUGGCUUGCUCCACCCCCUAUUUUUAAAUUUAUGGUCCCUGAAAUAAUAAAAAAAUGCACUUUUUCACCUAAUUAUGUGCCAAGCUCAAAAAGUAUCAGAUGUAAAUUCAGGAAACCUUGCUGGAGUCUUUAUCAUGAUGUGACCUUGCACACUUGGCAUUCCUCUUGAGAAUCUUAGCUCUUAUUACAGAGUUAUGGCCCUUGAAGUAGCCAAAAUAGUGGAUUUAUUGUUUGUGAUGCCCAUAGCUCAAGAAGUAUAGGGCCUAGAAUAAUAAAUCCUUUUCAUAAAAUGAUUGUUGAGGCUAUACCCCAUUAAGACUGCAAAUAUUUGAAUUAUUCGCCCUCAUUCAAAUGUGACAAAUGUACCAGUGGGGGCACACCCUGUGUCCUACAGACACAUUCUAGUUCUACUGAAGCUUGGUCCAUAUUUUGCCAUGUUUGUACUGGUACAGAAUCCAGGAACACUGGCUAAGUUCACUGCCCGUCGUUAAACAACUGAAAUGUUGAAAAAAUGGCGUUAAACCCAAAACAAACAAAUAUUCACCAUCAUGAGAUGGAGUGUCAUGGACAAGAACUUGGUCCCUAGGUCUAAGGUCAAUGUCACACAAAGAGGUCAAAGGUCAGAUUCAAGAAUUGCUUUGUCCGGAGUAUUUCUUCUUCAUGCAUGGAGGGAUUUUGAUGUAACUUUGCACAUUUGUUCACCAUCUGGGCAAGAACCAGGUCCCUAGGUCCAAGGUCAAGGUCACACUUAGAGGUCAAAGGUCAUUACUUUUUUUAUGCCCCCGAAGGGAGGCAUAUAGUUUUUGAACCGUCAGUCUGUCGAUCUGUCCGCAAUUUUCGUGUCCGGUCCAUAUCUUUGUCAUCCAUGGAUGGAUUUUCAAAUAACUUGGCAUGAAUAUGUACCACAGUAAGACGACGUGUCGCGCGCAAGACCCAGGUCCGUAGCUCAAAGGUCAAGGUCACACUUAGACGUUAAAGGUCAUUUUUCAUGCUAGUGCAUUCGUGUCCGGUCCAUAUCUUUGUCAUCCAUGGAUGGAUGUUCAAAUAACUUGGCGUGAAUGUGUACAACAGUAAGACGACGUGUCGCGCGCAAGAUCCAGGUCUGUAGCUCAAAGGUCAAGGUCACACUUAGACGUUAAAGUCAUUUUUCAUGAUAGUGCAUUCGUGUCCGGUCCAUAUCUUUGUCAUCCAUGGAUGGAUUUUCAAAUAACUUGGCAUGAAUGUGUACCACAGUAAGAUGACAUGUCGCGCGCAAGACCCAGGUCCGUAGCUCAAAGGUCAAGGUCACACUUAGACAUUAAAGGUCAUAUUUCAUGAUAGUGCAUUGAUGGGCGUGUUCGGUCCAUAUCUUUGUCAUUCAUACAUGGAUUUUAAAAUUAUUGGGCAUGAAUGUUUACCACAGUAAGACGACGUGUCGCGCGCAAGACCCAGGUCCGUAGGUCAAAGCUCCUAAACUCUAACACGGCCAUAACUAUUCAUUCAAAGUGUCAUCGGGGGCAUGUGUCAUCCUAAGGAGACAGCUCUUGUUAUGUCUCCCACCAUAUAGUGGUGUGGGAGACAUAUUGAUUAACUCCAGUCUGUGUGUGUGUGUGUGUGUGUGUGUCUGUCUGUGUGUCUGUCACAAAGUUUGUCCGCACUCUUAGUCGAACAUUCCUCAUCCGAUCUUCACCAAACUUCAACAAAAUGUGUCUGCCAAUAAGUGCUCAGCCAAGUUCGAUAACUAGCCAAAUCGGCCCACAGGCCCUUUGGAAUUAUGGCCCUUGAAUUACCGAAAAAUGCUCAGAUUUUAGGUGCAUUACUGGAGCCAAAAGGACCCCUAUACUACUCAUGAGUAGUGUAGGGGUCCUUUUGGCAUGAGUAGUACAGGGGUCCUUUUGGCUCCAGGAAUGCGCAUGCAGUCUAUAGGAGUCCUUUUGACUUGAUGAAUGUGAAUGCGCUCUAGUAGGGCAAGUUCAAUAAUGAGCCAAAUCGGUCCAGGCACUUUGAAGUUAUGGCCCUUGAAUUACCGAAAAUCGGCCUUUUUACUCUUGUCCAUGCUCUAAGUCGAACAUUUCUCAUCCGAUCAUCACCAAACUUUAACUAAAUGUGUUUGACCAUAGGUCCGCAGCCAAGUUCGAUAACUAGCCAAAUCGACCCAGGUACUUUGGAAUUACCGAAAAUUGGCCUUUUUAUUCUCGUCCGCGCUAUAAGUCCAACAUUUCUCACCCGAUCUUCACCAAACCUAAACAAAAUGUUUUUUACCAUAACUCCUUGACCAGGUUCAUUAACUAGCCAAAUGGCCCGAGGCACUCCAGAAUUAUGGCCCUUGAAUUACCCAAAAUCGGCCUUUUUGUGCUUAAGGGUAUAUUUGUAGUGAGUAAACAGUAUAUAAAGACUGACUUGCUUUUAAGAUGAUUAGGCAGUUGUGGGAGACAUGCGCUUUUCUCAAAAGCAACUCUAGUUUUUUUUUUCAAUUUUUCAAAACUUCCAUGAAUAUUUAUCAAUAACCCCAUCCCUAAGUCACCAUCCAUGUCCCAGUCUUGAUUGUGCUUCCUUAAGGACUGCCAUUAUUUUAAGUUAAAGAAAUUAUUUGCUUCUUAGUAACAUCUUUAACUUUUUGCUGGAUAUAUUUCUUUGCCAUUCCUCAACACAAAUUCUUUGGUGUUAUUUAAAGACUUUCUUUUGAUUAUGAAUCUUUAGGUCCCUUUAAAAUCUUUGGUUUCAUAUUUCUUUGAAUAUUCAACAAUUGUGUUCCAUUAAAAUCUUUGGGUUCAUUGAUUUAAAAAAAAAUCUUUCUUCUAAUUCUAAAGUUUUAGCUAACUUUAAAUGCUUCGGUGUCAUUAAAAUUUUUUUCUUUAAUUAUGAAUAUUUGUGUCACUUUUAAAACUUACAUUUCAGAAUCUAAUUUAAAAUCUUUGGCUCACUAAUAAUUCUUUGUUGCCUUUAAAGUAUUUGGGGCCCUUUAAAAACUUUUAUUUCUUUAAACUUCUUUCUUUUAAUUAUAAAUUUUGGUCCCUUUAAAAUCUUUGGCUUCGAAAAUCUUCUAAUUUGGAAUUUUUUA
Mercenaria mercenaria is the source of this 11720-nucleotide long non-coding RNA. RefSeq lists it as uncharacterized. The transcript is spliced from 9 exons. Lineage: Eukaryota; Metazoa; Mollusca; Bivalvia; Venerida; Veneridae. The record is from RefSeq and is a predicted model, not a curated record.